UUGAACGCUGGCGGAAUGCUUUACACAUGCAAGUCGAGCGGCAGCGCGGGGGCAACCCUGGCGGCGAGCGGCGAACGGGUGAGUAAUGUAUCGGAACGUACCCUGUCGUGGGGGAUAACACAGCGAAAGCUGUGCUAAUACCGCAUACGACCUGAGGGUGAAAGCGGGGGAUCGCAAGACCUCGCGCGAUAGGAGCGGCCGAUAUCGGAUUAGCUAGUUGGUGAGGUAAAGGCUCACCAAGGCGACGAUCCGUAGCGGGUCUGAGAGGACGACCCGCCACACUGGAACUGAGACACGGUCCAGACUCCUACGGGAGGCAGCAGUGGGGAAUUUUGGACAAUGGGGGCAACCCUGAUCCAGCCAUUCCGCGUGAGUGAAGAAGGCCUUCGGGUUGUAAAGCUCUUUCAGCAGGAACGAAACGGUGUCUCCUAAUACGGGGCGCUAAUGACGGUACCUGAAUAAGAAGCACCGGCUAACUACGU
This 482-nucleotide ribosomal RNA is filed under the name uncultured bacterium. Its description in RNAcentral is "bacterial SSU rRNA". It matches the Rfam family "Bacterial small subunit ribosomal RNA", at positions 29 to 506 of the family's 1533-position model. The record is from RNAcentral.